This 602-nucleotide ribosomal RNA is filed under the name uncultured Bacteroidota bacterium. RNAcentral describes it as "SSU rRNA". It matches the Rfam family "Bacterial small subunit ribosomal RNA", at positions 242 to 843 of the family's 1533-position model. Lineage: Bacteria; Pseudomonadati; Bacteroidota. The record is from RNAcentral.
CAGGUAGUUGGUGCGGGUAACGGCCCACCAAGCCUUCGAUCAGUAACUGGUGUGAGAGCACGACCAGUCACACGGGCACUGAGACACGGGCCCGACUCCUACGGGAGGCAGCAGUAAGGAAUAUUGGUCAAUGGACGCAAGUCUGAACCAGCCAUGCCGCGUGAAGGAUGAAGGCCCUCUGGGUUGUAAACUUCUUUUAUCUGGGAAGAAAAAAGGGCUUUUUAGCUCACUUGACGGUACCAGAGGAAUAAGCACCGGCUAACUCCGUGCCAGCAGCCGCGGUAAUACGGAGGGUGCAAGCGUUAUCCGGAUUUACUGGGUUUAAAGGGUGCGUAGGUGGGCAGGAAAGUCAGUGGUGAAAUCUCCGGGCUUAACCCGGAAACUGCCAUUGAUACUAUUUGUCUUGAAUACUUUGGAGGUAAGCGGAAUAUGUCAUGUAGCGGUGAAAUGCUUAGAUAUGACAUAGAACACCAAUUGCGAAGGCAGCUUACUACACAGUAAUUGACACUGAGGCACGAAAGCGUGGGGAUCAAACAGGAUUAGAUACCCUGGUAGUCCACGCCCUAAACGAUGGAUACUCGACAUUAGCGAUACACAGUUAG